UCUAGCCGCGAUUGCAGCGGAAAUCCUUUUUUGACGGCUGAGGCAUCCGAAGUAGGCAAAAAAGAUUGCAGCGUAAAGCGCGUA
RNAcentral lists this small RNA (84 nucleotides) under uncultured Kaistella sp. RNAcentral's name for it is "Flavo-1 RNA". It matches the Rfam family "Flavo-1 RNA". Lineage: Bacteria; Pseudomonadati; Bacteroidota; Flavobacteriia; Flavobacteriales; Weeksellaceae. The record is from RNAcentral.